CUUGAGUCUUGUAUUGGAAUGAUGGGAAUUUAAACCCCUUCCAGAGUAUCAAUUGGAGGGCAAGUCUGGUGCCAGCAGCCGCGGUAAUUCCAGCUCCAAUAGCGUAUAUUAAACUUGUUGCAGUUAAAAAGCUCGUAGUUGAAUUUCUGCUGCAUCGUGGUUCUUCGCUAUGUCGAGUGAUCUUCGUUGUGGCUUAGUUGGGGCAUGUUUUCAUGACUCGACGUUUACUUUGAGAAAAUUAGAGUGCUUCAAGCAGGCUUUUGCCUUGAAUACUUUAGCAUGGAAUAAUGGAGUAGGACUUUGGUUCUAUUUUGUUGGUUUUAGGAGCCGGAGUAAUGGUUAAUAGGAACAGUUGGGGGCAUUCGUAUUUGACUGUCAGAGUGAAA
RNAcentral lists this ribosomal RNA (386 nucleotides) under Theileria equi. RNAcentral describes it as "SSU rRNA". It matches the Rfam family "Eukaryotic small subunit ribosomal RNA", at positions 496 to 916 of the family's 1831-position model. The record is from RNAcentral. Lineage: Eukaryota; Apicomplexa; Aconoidasida; Piroplasmida; Theileriidae.